AUACCUUUCUCGGCCUUUUGGCUAAGAUCAAGUGUAGUAUCUGUUCUUAUCAGUUUAAUAUCUGAUGUGGGUCAUCGACUCACAUGAUAUUAACUCUAUUUUUUAAGGGAUAAGGUUCACCACGGUAGCUUGCUAUCAGAGGCGUAUCCAGAGGAGGUGCCGUGGGUUCACGUGAACCCAUGCUCCCCUCUCUAGAU
This is a small nuclear RNA of Solanum stenotomum, 197 nucleotides long. RefSeq annotates it as U2 spliceosomal RNA. The transcript has a single exon. NCBI's taxonomy places the organism in Eukaryota, Viridiplantae, Streptophyta, Magnoliopsida, Solanales, Solanaceae. The record is from RefSeq and is a predicted model, not a curated record.